UGGUUCAGGACGAACGCUGGCGGCGUGCCUAAUACAUGCAAGUCGAGCGGACUUAAAAAGCUUGCUUUUUAAGUUAGCGGCGGACGGGUGAGUAACACGUGGGCAACCUGCCUGUAAGACUGGGAUAACUUCGGGAAACCGGAGCUAAUACCGGAUAAUCCUUUUCUACUCAUGUAGAAAAGCUGAAAGACGGUUUACGCUGUCACUUACAGAUGGGCCCGCGGCGCAUUAGCUAGUUGGUGAGGUAACGGCUCACCAAGGCGACGAUGCGUAGCCGACCUGAGAGGGUGAUCGGCCACACUGGGACUGAGACACGGCCCAGACUCCUACGGGAGGCAGCAGUAGGGAAUCUUCCGCAAUGGACGAAAGUCUGACGGAGCAACGCCGCGUGAGUGAUGAAGGUUUUCGGAUCGUAAAACUCUGUUGUUAGGGAAGAACAAGUACGAGAGUAACUGCUCGUACCUUGACGGUACCUAACCAGAAAGCCACGGC
This 492-nucleotide ribosomal RNA is filed under the name Niallia nealsonii. RNAcentral's name for it is "bacterial SSU rRNA". It matches the Rfam family "Bacterial small subunit ribosomal RNA", at positions 20 to 497 of the family's 1533-position model. The record is from RNAcentral. Lineage: Bacteria; Bacillati; Bacillota; Bacilli; Caryophanales; Bacillaceae.